This 253-nucleotide ribosomal RNA is filed under the name uncultured bacterium. RNAcentral's name for it is "partial 16S ribosomal RNA". It matches the Rfam family "Bacterial small subunit ribosomal RNA", at positions 524 to 776 of the family's 1533-position model. The record is from RNAcentral.
GACAGAGGGGGCAAGCGUUGUCCGGAUUGACUGGGCGUAAAGCGUCCGCAGGUGGCCCGGCAAGUGAUGACUGAAAUCUGGUGGCUUAACUGCCAGGAGCGUCGUCAAACUGGUGGGCUCGAGCCGGGCAGAGGUGCGUGGAAUUGCCGGUGUAGUGGUGAAAUGCGUAGAGAUCGGCAGGAACACCAAGGGGGAAGCCAGCGCACUGGGCCCGAGCUGACACUCAUGGACGACCGCGUGGGGAGCGAACCGG